This 3885-nucleotide long non-coding RNA is filed under the name Phocoena sinus (vaquita). RNAcentral describes it as "lncRNA (ENSPSNG00000011363.1)". The record is from RNAcentral. Lineage: Eukaryota; Metazoa; Chordata; Mammalia; Artiodactyla; Phocoenidae.
AUGCGGACAUAUGUAUAUGUAUAGCUGAUUCACUUUGUUAUAAAGCAGAAACCAACACACCAUUGUAAAGCAAUUAUACUCCAAUAAAGAUGUUAAAAAAAAAGAUCACCAAAACUUAAACUACAGAAAAUAACAACACUCUGAUAGUCUCAUAACAUGACUUAAUAUGUGUUUUGUUAGAUUCAAGUAUACUGUUUCUCAAUAAUUUCUUAAUUGUGGAAAGAAAGAACAAGCACUAGUAUAGUGUGAGAAAGUGAGUGCAUUUACAUUUCUGAAAACAUUAUGAGGCUUAAUUUAUAUUCGUUUAGGCCCCCAUGGCUACCUUUUCUAAUUCCCUAUUAACAUUAAAAUGUGACAUUAGACCUUUUCUUUGAUAGAGUAAUAAUUACUUUCACGAGGAUUCAUGUUCUCAUGACGUGUGUCUUCUGUACUUAAUUAUCUGUGUUACUUAUAGUUGUGUUUAGGAAACCCAUUGAACUUUUAUUGAUAUUUCACAAUUACCCAAAUAACACAAGCCCGCCUAGCUAGGACCUCUGUCCUCUAUCACACUAACUAAUAACGAUACUCUUCUCACUUGAUAGUUUGGGGUUUAGAUAUAUGUCCACAAAAGAAUACCAUAGUAUGAAAACCACUAUUUCACCAUCCUUUUUGUUUUUCCCCCAGAGGACUUUCAUACAUUUUAAAUAUUUGUUUGAUCAUGGAGAUAAAAUAAAAGGAGUUGGAAAGUUCAUUUACUCCAUGCCUUUGAUUGUGGAGAAUUCUAGGGAACAAGUUCUUGACAGUGUCAUAAAGGGUGUGUGCCUAUGGUGCUUCCAACCUCCUUUGUUAAUAUUCAGUCUUUUCAUCUGCAGUAUAUCUUCAUGAUUGCUCCCAUUUCCAUAAAUACCUUCCUUUUAUCUUUUAUUCACAAUGUUGUAAAUAAAUGAUGAGCAAAGUUUCACUUCUUACAGGGACAGUUGCUACCUUUACAGAUCUGAGACCCAAACACAUAGAAUUUUAGGUAACAUCCAAUAGGUGGGAAAGAUUUGAGAAGAAAGCCUUGAGACCUAUUUUGGAAGUAUGAGGUUGAUGCAAAGUCUCAGUAACUUAAAGUAGGGUGAAUAAUAGCUGUUUAUAGGAUUUCCAAGUAGGUUUCUUUAGUCCAGCAUCUGUGUUAAAUGCACAUUAAUACGUGGGAUGUCGCGGUGAGUUGUCACAAUGAUGGAGGCACUGUUGGCAUUUAAUGCCUAGAGGUCAGUAGUGAUAAAUAUACUCCCAGUGAAAUAAUUGUUGUUUUCAAAAUGACAAAUUGAAACAAAAACAAAUGCAAAACAAAACCUCCUCUAGUAGUUACGAGAGCAGGCUUUGUGUCAGUUAGAUUAGUAUUUGUGUCUUGACCGUGCCACUUGCUAGUUGGGUGACAUUAGUCACUUAACUUUCCAAACAAUCUCAUAUCUGAUUUGCAAGAUGCCAAUAACAGAUUUUUGUGAGUAUUAAAUGAAAUACACAAAGUGUUUAAUUUAGCAUGUGGUACAUAGUGAACACUCAAUAACUAUUACCAUUUAUAGUAUUAUUUUAUUACCUCCCAUAAAAGGAGUCUUUUCAAAAUCUAGUAACUUAAAAUAACACAGUAAGAAGUCUUACUAAAUGGUUAUGAAGAGCAUAUUAAAAUAUUGACUAUAUUUAAGCCAAACAAUAUAAAUAUUCAAUCUAUUUUCCAGCCUAUCUUUGACACAUAAACUGAACUUCAGCUAUAUUAAUCACUUGGUGUUCCAUUAAUAUUCAGUGUUUUCCCUAUGUGAUCUUCCUUUUGUUUGGAAUGCCAUCCCCCAUCUUCUCAGCUUGGCAAUCUCAUAUACAUUUAUUAAAAUGAUUAAAAAUUACCUUUUUCUGGGAAGCUGCCCUCAUACCUGUAUCAGUUACUUCUGAUUGGUAGUGAAAUUACCCAGCAAACCAUGGCUAAGUAAUUAAGGGUAUUGAUUGCAUAAUGUAACAAAAUGUCUAGAGAUUAGCAGGAUAGGAUGCAGGGGCGCCUCAGGGUAGCCCAAUGAUAUGAUUGGAAUUAAUCAUUAAUCAACAGUGGGGUCCAUGUCCAUGUCGUAGGUUCAAGAAGGACUGGGAAAGCAAGCAUAUGGUCUUCCCUGUCUCUAUAGUGGGAAGUGGGAUUUUCAAAAGUGGUAAAAGUAGCUGUCGGGUAGGCAACUAAAAAUAUCUUCUGCAUGCUCUCUUCUCAUCUCAGCCCCUGACCCCGGUUGCCUACAGCAGGAGUUGCUCCAUUUUCAGUGCUCCUUCAACAUACUAGAUACACCUGUAUUAGCACCGACUACACAUUACUGUAAAUAUUUAUUUUUGUCUACCCCUCAGCAAUUUCUGGGUAGAAAUCCUGUUGUCUCCGUCAUUAUGUUCUCGGUGCUUAUUUUGGUUCAUAGUAAGUGAACAUUAGUUAAAUUAAUAAGUUUAAAGUCUUUUUAAAUAGAGAAUAAGAAAUUGUGAUUGAAAAAUAUAUGUAAAAGUCAAAAUAGGGACUUGAGAUAAGUAAAAUUGUAGUCUUUGAAGAGCCCUUAAUAGUUAAAAAACAGCAAAAGGAAUAGGAGAUAUUGCAUCAUCCCUGAAACAGCCAAAGCCUAACCAUCUGCUUCAUAUCUCACUAAGCUUAGAGAUGAGAAAAAAGAUGUGGAAUUUGGUACCCCCUGGGAGAUUGGAUGAGAAUCAUACAGGAUUUAGAGAAUAGAACGUUCAGGGAAAUGUCAAUAAUUUAGGCUAUUUCUUUAACAUUUAAGAAGGAAACCUGUCAAAAUUGUUUCUUUCCUUAAAAAUGUUGUAUAUGAAAUAACUCUGUAGAAUCAUUUCAGUGGGCUUUGGAGAAAGGGAAGGUAAAAAGGAAAUAGAGCAUUGCUAUUGAAAUUUCAGAAAAGAAAACAGAAUUGCAAAGCAUUAGUCUAGUGAUAAUAAAAACUUGAGUCAACUAUGUUGAACGUACCAGUUUUAUUCCACUGAAAAAAUGUAUCCUCUGUCUCUUGCUAAAUAAAGAACCAGGUUUUCACUAUGGGUACUUUUUACCUUUUCUUGGUAAAGAAGCAGUUCCAAACAAGUCUAUGCUGAGUGCUUUACAAUUUUCCAUAUCACUGCCUGAGAAAAACAAGGAGCCAGUGUUAAAUGAUCAAGAAAAAAAAAACGAAAACAACUUUCUCCUUGAAAAUUAAAUGUCAAAUUGAAUUUGAAAUGUUUACAGAGAUACUUUUCAUUUGUUCAUUAUGAUAGAAAUGAUAAAUGAGCAAAGCUUCUUCCUGGGGAAAAUGUACUUCUUAAAAUUUUCAAUUUUGUCUUGGUUUUAUAUAAGGUUCUUGUAAGUAAGAAUUGCCAUUUGCAGCACCAAAAACACUUGGUGCUUAAUAAGACAUAGGAUGAUUGCAAAUUGUGUAGCCAAUAGAAAGCAUACAAAUAUACAAUUAAGUACAAUUUUUUCAUAAUAGAAAGAUAUCACAUUUUUGUACUUUCUCAUCUAAUGAGAAUAAAAACAUGUACACACAUCCAUGUACACCCACACAUGCCCACAGUUCCAAAUUCAUAUAUUUCCCAGUCAGGGGUGUCAUUUAUUUGAGCAUUUAUAGUGAUUUUUAUAAAAUCCUAUCAUGUGAUUCUAGUCAUUAUUACUAGGCUUAGUCCUGUGCAGAUUUAUUUUGACUGUCAUUCAACAUCAAGAGGAAAGGUGUUGGGCUUCCCUGGUGGUGCAGUGGUUGAGAGUCCGCCUGCUGAUGCAGGGGACACAGGUUCGUGCCCCGGUCCGGGAAGAUCCCACAUGCCGCGGAGCGGCUGGGCCUGUGAGCCAUGGCCGCUGAGCCUGUGCGUCCGGAGCCUGUGCUUCGCAACGGGAGAGGCCACAACAGUGAGAGGCCCGCGUACUGC